AUAUACUUUACUCUUUUUUUUCGGUUAGUUUUACAAUUUGCAUUAACUUCAUAUUUGAUAGCAUUUCCAUAUUAAUUUUGCAGCUGCAAACAUUUUAUUGACCGAGAAUGGUGAUGUAAAGGUUGCAGAUUUUGGUGUUUCUGCACAGCUCACGAGGACCAUAUCAAGGAGAAAGGUAAACAUAUUUCAUUAGGGUGUAAUCCUUUAUCAUUUUCUUUUGUAUGGGUUAUUGACAUAAUCUGUUUUCUCAUUACACUUUAAUGAAACUGAUGUAUAUUGUUUCAUUUUGUUCCUUGAAUCAUUCGGUUCUUUUAAUCGUGCAAAUCCAUUUGUAGAUUCCCAAAGUGGAAGAACUAGACUCGCAACAUAUUUUUGCUAUCUGCUUUU
This is a non-coding RNA of Arachis ipaensis, 387 nucleotides long. NCBI's taxonomy places the organism in Eukaryota, Viridiplantae, Streptophyta, Magnoliopsida, Fabales, Fabaceae. The record is from RefSeq and is a predicted model, not a curated record.